Molecule: long non-coding RNA, 204 nt
Filed under: Homo sapiens (human)
Lineage: Eukaryota; Metazoa; Chordata; Mammalia; Primates; Hominidae
Description: HSALNT0121111
Source: RNAcentral
ACUAGUCUACUCAACCAUUUAUAUUAUUAUGUGUAGCUAAAGUAACCUGCUUUUUUCCCCAAACACAAAAGAAAACUAGAAAACUGUUGAAUUGUUUUAAAAUUUUAGCUAAUUUCAACAAAUUUAAGAUAGCAAAACAAAUGUAUGUAAUCAUAAAAGUCAUUUGCAUACGCUGUUAAUUUGUAGCCAUCUCAAGAAAUAAGG